UACCACCGGCCCUUUUGAAUUGUGUGUAUGAUGCUCCAUUUUGUCACUUUACCGAUUCAAGCUGGAGUUCCUCCUUCUGGAGAACCGCCGUAGAGACAACUGCCUGGCGUUUGAAGUAGCCGUGUCCUAAGGCUCCAGUAUUAUUUUAAGUGAUUUAUUGUAUUAAGUGAUACAUGUUGUUUUGUUGGAUACUUAUUAUAAUCAGAGGUUAUCGAUGAAGGGGACAUGAUAGUAAAGGGCUGAAGAAAGGAGUUUAACCUAGCCUGUUCACUGGGUUAGAGUAUUAGUGAGACCCUCUUGUAUUCGCCUAUGUACGUGAGCCACCCUCAGACCUCUCUGUAGUCUGUGCUCACCCACCAUAUGCUCUCACCCUGUUUCAUGACUUACAUAACAGCCCCAGCUGACAACAUGGCAAGCCCAGACCUCUUCCUCACUCCAUACCUAGAUGUCCAACUGCCAACUCCUUUACUUGGAGGCAUGUGACUUACCAUGCCCAAGACCUAAUGUGACUUUGAAAGUCUUUGUAGUGAAAUCGUAUGUGUCAGUGGUAACCAGGUGUCUUAGUUAGGGUUGCUCAGGCCCCUUUCUUAUAGAACCCAGGACCACCAGCUCAGGAGUGGCACCACAGGGAAGUAAAGUCUUAAGUCGGCAGCCUCUUGCCUCUGUUAUCCAUAAACCCUGCUUGCCUCUAUGAUGUUGAAAAAGAAAUGUCCACAGAAGAAAGGAGCAAGAGCCCAAUUCUGAUUAUACUUGUUAGUAUUUUAUUCUAGUCUGGUAGUUGCUAUUUUAACAUUUUUUAUUAUUAAAUCAGGGCAACACAACUAUUUAUGUGCUGGAAGGAACGAUUGCAUCAUUGAUAAGAUUCGGCGGAAGAACUGCCCUGCCUGCAGACUCCAGAAAUGUCUCCAAGCUGGUAUGAACUUAGGAGUGCUUGAAAUCUUAACUACAGCAAUAAGAGAAUGCAGUAAAAUGGGUACAAAUGGGAAAGGAAGAAGUCGAAGUUUGCAGUCGGUGUGAUGCAGAAUAUGAGACCUUGGAGAUUUCACAACGCCCUUAGGACUGAUAAACACUUAAGGAGAGUAGCAGGAUGCAAAAGGAACACAGAAAAAUCUAUGGCUGUAUGUACCGAUACAGAACAUGCUGAGAAAGAAACCAGGAAAACAGUUUCAUUCAGAGUUGAUGCCUUGGAAUAAACCCAACCAAAGAAGUGAAAGACCUCUGCAAUGAAAACUUUGAAACACUGAAUGAAGAAAUUGAAAAA
Molecule: long non-coding RNA, 1261 nt
Organism: Peromyscus leucopus (white-footed mouse)
Lineage: Eukaryota; Metazoa; Chordata; Mammalia; Rodentia; Cricetidae
Exons: 2
Source: RefSeq, a predicted model, not a curated record